Molecule: ribosomal RNA, 253 nt
Filed under: uncultured bacterium
Lineage: Bacteria
Description: partial 16S ribosomal RNA
Rfam family: Bacterial small subunit ribosomal RNA
Source: RNAcentral
UACGGAGGGGGCUAGCGUUGUUCGGAAUUACUGGGCGUAAAGCGCGCGUAGGCGGAUCUGCAAGUCGGGGGUGAAAUCCCGAGGCUCAACCUCGGAACUGCCUUCGAUACUGCGGGUCUCGAGUCCGGGAGAGGUGAGUGGAAUUCCUAGUGUAGAGGUGAAAUUCGUAGAUAUUAGGAAGAACACCAGUGGCGAAGGCGGCUCACUGGCCCGGUACUGACGCUGAGGCGCGAAAGCGUGGGGGGCGAACAGG